This 331-nucleotide long non-coding RNA is filed under the name Arabidopsis lyrata. RNAcentral's name for it is "long non-coding RNA (ALYR_LNC002681)". Lineage: Eukaryota; Viridiplantae; Streptophyta; Magnoliopsida; Brassicales; Brassicaceae. The record is from RNAcentral.
AUCAAAGCAAUAAAAGUUGUAUUUCCUAAAACACUUUCUCCAUUACCUCUAAAAGAAUUUUACUCUAACAAGGACAUGCUUCUCUCAUCUUGUUGAUCUUUCUGGUCCCAUGGAUUUGAUAUUUUUCUUCUUUCGUUAUUGAAGAUAAGAGUUAUCUUGAAGUCUUGAAGAUAGCAAGGUGACUCUAAAAGCAAAUGAAACGAGAAAAUUGAGUUAUUAUCGAUGUCAUAUCGCGAAAAUCCAUAUCGAUCGUUGGUUCCGGUUCAGAAGGACUCGUUCCAUAUGACUGGUAGUGACAUGAACAAGAAAUAUUAGAAUUCUCGACGUAGAU